CUAGAAGGCCUUUGAGGCAGCUCUAAAUCUAUAAUCCUGUGAAUUCUAAUCCUAAACUAAUUGGUACCCAGCACCCACCUCCGAAAAUGGGAGACUCAUGAACAUGGGGCUUUUAGGGAACCCAGACUUUGUCACCUGCUUGAGUAGGCACAGCUGGGAAUGAGGAAUUGCCGUUUGUCAGGGCCCAAGGGAAGCCUUCCCAGCAAGGAGGGAAAAGAAAUCUCUGGGCCAAGAGGGGCCUGAUCCAGCUCUGCCUGGGAUACUGAUGCCUGAGUCUCUCUGAUGGUUACUUGCUCUGGCAGGGGAUGAUGGGUCCCAUCAACCUCUACAUUCCCUUGGAUCAUGAGCUGUGGCACCAGCUAGUCUGACUUCCUUGCUGGUGGCACGCAAAAAAAAAAUUGCAAAGAGCAAGCAGGCCGCCCCCAACUUGUUUCUGCUUUAUGACUAUGCUUAAUAUAGGUCAAAUGAAAACAGCAUCCAGAAAUAGACCUUCCCUGAGAAGCAGCUGCAAUUGUGAAAGCCUGCACCAAAAGAGAAGAGGUGUGAGGAACAGGUAAUGCAGGUCUCUUCAGGCCCACAUCAUUCUUCAGGAGCAAUGUGGACUUGGAAGCAUUGAGCCUAAGAGAAAGGACAACUGUACCAUAUGUGAAUGAGCCCUAAGUCUUUUGGCUAACAUCACCACAUCCAUGCAUGUAGAUGUGGGGUACUUCCUCCAUUGAGUGGCAAAAAGUAAAGAACACGAGCAAGAAAGACUGGACAGCAAUGAUUGGACUAGACAAAGCUUCGAAUUCUUCCUUCUGGUGGGAAUCCUUUCUGGGAUGCUCCAAAGACAAUGACUCUACUAGAGGCUCAGGCAUAUUUUUUCAAUGCCUUUGUUUGAUACUUUGCUAAGAGUUCCUAUAGUUUUAUGUUUGUGGGAAUGGAGAGCUUUUGGAAAAAAUAAAACCCAUGCUACACACUUGGAAAGAGUCUUGGUGGCUGCCUAGUAUCAUUCAAGGUAUGGAAGGAUACAGCCUGACCAAACCAGGCAUCUCCCCCCGAUACCCCUCAGGAAGGAGGGGUCAGGUAGACACAGACUUGACUGAGCAAUCAAUGAGCAUGGCUCCUGUGACAUGAGAGGAGCUGUACCAACCCCCGGUGUGCAUCCUUAAUAGCUCACUUGUGAUUGGCAUCUUCAGAAAGUUUGCUGGGGCUCUGCUUACCCUAGGCUAAUGCUUUUGAAAAAUGAAAUUCUGUUGAAAAUGAAGUAGCUGCUGUUACCACCACCCUCAUCCCAGAGUAUAAAACACUGAUACCCCUAAAUGCUGUUGCCACUCAGACCCCAUCUGGACAUAUUUUGCCUCUCAGGGACCAAAACAGGGAGCUGAGAAGCCAAGUGGCUGUUGGAGAUGAUUAGUACAUGUGUCCUUGUGUCCUUUCUAUGGUUACCACUGGUGGUUCAGAUAUGAUCAAUAAACUCUGUAGAAUUGGAUUUAAGGAAUGUUUUUAUUCCCUGAAAUCUAGGACCAUACUAAAUUCUACUUCCAGGAAGUGGAAAAGGCUUCUAACCAUUUCUUAAGAGUUGGAUUUCACAGAUCCUCCAUUAAGUUACUUGGAUGCCUCAUUGUGGUGUGGAGGUGACCCUGGAUUCUCAAAGGCCAUGCCAGUGGAAUGCUGACAGUUUCUACCAAGCUAGAAAGGCUUCAAGUAUGGGCCUGGCGACAGGCUAUGUGUCUUAUAUCCAAAGACCAGGCCACUAGGCUUGAGGAAGCUCAUUACCAAGUUUGGCUAUGAGGUAGUAACUUAUGUUCCAUGCCCAAGAACACGUGUAGAUCAUCUACUAAGUUCUCUUUGAGUUGAGAUCUGGGUUGGAGGAGGGAGUACCCACACUGCCGAAAUCACAGAACCUUGAUUCAAUACUAAGUGAUUUCACCAACUUGGAAAAUUCCUGGCUUGG
Long non-coding RNA from Phascolarctos cinereus (koala), 1936 nucleotides. RefSeq lists it as uncharacterized. The record is from RefSeq and is a predicted model, not a curated record. Lineage: Eukaryota; Metazoa; Chordata; Mammalia; Diprotodontia; Phascolarctidae.